CCUACGGGGGGCAGCAGUGGGGAAUAUUGGACAAUGGGGGGAACCCUGAUCCAGCCAUGCCGCGUGUGUGAAGAAGGCCCUCGGGUUGUAAAGCACUUUCAGUGAGGAAGAACGCCUGGUGGUUAAUACCCAUCAGGAAAGACAUCACUCACAGAAGAAGCACCGGCUAACUCCGUGCCAGCAGCCGCGGUAAUACGGAGGGUGCGAGCGUUAAUCGGAAUUACUGGGCGUAAAGCGCGCGUGGGUGGCUUGAUAAGCCGGUUGUGAAAGCCCCGGGCUCAACCUGGGAACGGCAUCCGGAACUGUCAAGCUAGAGUGCAGGAGAGGAAGGUAGAAUUCCCGGUGUAGCGGUGAAAUGCGUAGAGAUCGGGAGGAAUACCAGUGGCGAAGGCGGCCUUCUGGACUGACACUGACACUGAGGUGCGAAAGCGUGGGUAGCAAACAGGAUUAGAUACCCGAGUAGUC
RNAcentral lists this ribosomal RNA (465 nucleotides) under Vreelandella stevensii. RNAcentral's name for it is "partial 16S ribosomal RNA". It matches the Rfam family "Bacterial small subunit ribosomal RNA", at positions 338 to 795 of the family's 1533-position model. The record is from RNAcentral. Lineage: Bacteria; Pseudomonadati; Pseudomonadota; Gammaproteobacteria; Oceanospirillales; Halomonadaceae.